CAGUAGCCACGGUAAUACGAGGGGGGCAAGCGUUGUUCGGAAUUAUUGGGCGUAAAGGGUGCGUAGGCGGUUUGGCAAGUCUUGUGUGAAAUCUUCGGGCUCAACCCGAAGCCUGCACGAGAAACUGCCGGGCUUGAGUAUUGGAGAGGUGAGUGGAAUUUCCGGUGUAGCGGUGAAAUGCGUAGAUAUCGGAAGGAACACCUGUGGCGAAAGCGGCUCACUGGACAAUAACUGACGCUGAUGCACGAAAGCUAGGGGAGCAAACAGGAUUAGAUACCCCGGUAGUCCCUGUCUCUUAUAC
RNAcentral lists this ribosomal RNA (301 nucleotides) under uncultured bacterium. RNAcentral describes it as "partial 16S ribosomal RNA". It matches the Rfam family "Bacterial small subunit ribosomal RNA", at positions 509 to 807 of the family's 1533-position model. The record is from RNAcentral.